This 508-nucleotide ribosomal RNA is filed under the name uncultured bacterium. Its description in RNAcentral is "partial 16S ribosomal RNA". It matches the Rfam family "Bacterial small subunit ribosomal RNA", at positions 28 to 507 of the family's 1533-position model. The record is from RNAcentral.
GACGAACGCUGGCGGCGUGCCUAAUACAUGCAAGUCGAACGCUUCUUUCCUCCCGAGUGCUUGCACUCAAUUGGAAAGAGGAGUGGCGGACGGGUGAGUAACACGUGGGUAACCUACCCAUCAGAGGGGGAUAACACUUGGAAACAGGUGCUAAUACCGCAUAACAGUUUAUGCCGCAUGGCAUAAGAGUGAAAGGCGCUUUCGGGUGUCGUUGAUGGAUGGACCCGCGGUGCAUUGGCUAGUUGGUGAGGUAACGGCUCACCAAGGCCACGAUGCAUAGCCGACCUGAGAGGGUGAUCGGCCACACUGGGACUGAGACACGGCCCAGACUCCUACGGGAGGCAGCAGUAGGGAAUCUUCGGCAAUGGACGAAAGUCUGACCGAGCAACGCCGCGUGAGUGAAGAAGGUUUUCGGAUCGUAAAACUCUGUUGUUAGAGAAGAACAAGGACGUUAGUAACUGAACGUCCCCUGACGGUAUCUAACCAGAAAGCCACGGCUAACUACGUG